UACGGGGGGGGCAAGCGUUGUUCGGAAUUACUGGGCGUAAAGGGCUCGUAGGCGGCCAACUAAGUCAGACGUGAAAUCCCUCGGCUUAACCGGGGAGCUGCGUCUGAUACUGGAUGGCUUGAGUUUGGGAGAGGGAUGCGGAAUUCCAGGUGUAGCGGUGAAAUGCGUAGAUAUCAGGAGGAACACCGGUGGCGAAGGCGGUUCUCUGGGCAUGAUCUGACGCUGAGGAGCGAAAGUGUGGGGAGCGAACAGG
This 253-nucleotide ribosomal RNA is filed under the name uncultured bacterium. RNAcentral's name for it is "partial 16S ribosomal RNA". It matches the Rfam family "Bacterial small subunit ribosomal RNA", at positions 524 to 776 of the family's 1533-position model. The record is from RNAcentral.